AUCCGCAGCUACCUCCACACACCAGGGGAUUUCCUCUCCCAGGAGGAGGCCUCCAACAUGGCGCCCUCCUCCCCGAGCUCCACGCUGUCGGAGGAAUACCCGCGCACUGACAGCAGCCGGCAAGCCCCACAGACACCAGACUGGUACACACUGUUCACGUCCCUGCCGAAAAAGGAGGACUUCCAGACACUGCUGGAUGAGGUAAAAGCCACCCUGCGCACAGAGAUCUCAGCCCUAGGCACCUCACUCACAGCGCUUGAGACAAG
Molecule: non-coding RNA, 266 nt
Organism: Pelobates cultripes (western spadefoot toad)
Lineage: Eukaryota; Metazoa; Chordata; Amphibia; Anura; Pelobatidae
Source: the annotation of a GenBank genome assembly